This 24-nucleotide non-coding RNA is filed under the name Arabidopsis thaliana (thale cress). The record is from RNAcentral. Lineage: Eukaryota; Viridiplantae; Streptophyta; Magnoliopsida; Brassicales; Brassicaceae.
CGGAUUUGACUAACACCCGUUAGU